Paramuricea clavata is the source of this 3619-nucleotide non-coding RNA. The record is from the annotation of a GenBank genome assembly. Lineage: Eukaryota; Metazoa; Cnidaria; Anthozoa; Malacalcyonacea; Plexauridae.
CCAGCUAUCACCAUAAACUUGUGCAGCAGCCGAGAGCAAGAUUGAUCUUAGAGCAGCAUGGGCAUUUUAACAGGUAAUGAGCUACUGUUUCGCAGCCAGCACCACAAAUACAGUCGGGUGUUAAAGUACGAUUUAUUCUAAAUAGAUAGUAGUUCAACGCACAACAGUUUAAACGCAAACGUGCAUGCAAUACUGAAGUAUAUCUAUCAAUGGAAUGAUCAAAAUAGCUAUGAUUGCGGUCACAUGAAAUAUCAAAAAAUUUAAGAAUAGCUUUUUUGAAUAAAUUAAUAGAUGGCAAGCUACGAACUGAGUACUCAACCGAAUUCCAUAACAUAGUAGCCGAAGGAAAAAAAGGAUUUUUUAAAUCUUUCAGUUCUAGCAAAAAACAAAGAAAUAUUAGAUGACUGCCUUAAUGAUAAACCAGACCUUUGUUCAACCGUCUGGGGCAAUAAUUUUGACAAGUAUUCUGGAACAUGAUUAUUUACUAUUUUAAAAUAUAAAAUAAGUUUGUGAAUCUGGCGUCUAGUUUUCAUAUCUUCCCAAGCCAGAUCUUCCAAUACUCUUGACCUACUAGUACCCCUCAUAGCACCCGUGACCACCAUGGCUGACUGAUAUUGUACAUGCUCAAUUAAAUCACUUUCAUUGUCAGAACACCCAUCCCAUAAUACAUCGGCAUAUUCUAACAAUGGUCUAAUAACACAUUUGUACAAGUUUGACAAGGUUUUCCGAUUUAACUUAAACUUUAAACCUUUAAGAAGAUUCACCCUUUUGGAAGCUUUCUCGUGUAUAUUAAUAAUAUGCGCUGUCCAAGUUAAAUUGGAUGAAAGUGUUACUCCUAGGUGUUUAUGAUUAAAAACUUCUUGAAUUUCAUUAUUAUUAAAAAAUAGGGGAGGAUGAUUUGGCCUAAUUCGUUUGACAGAGAAUAUCAUUGAUUUGGUCUUGUCUGGAUUGAUAGUAACAAGCCAAUCUUUGGUCCAUGCUUUAAUGCAUUCGAGAUCAUGGUUUAAUCGAUCAGCUGUAAGACAGGGAUCAUCUACUAUUUCCAAAAGAGAAGUAUCGUCAGCAUAUAAAAAAUUAUUACUUCGGAGGUCGCGAGUUAUGUUGUUAAUAUAAAUCAAAAACAACAAAGGACCCAAAACAGAGCCCUGAGGGACACCCGAAUCAAUUUCUUUCCAGUCAGAUGACUGACCGUCUAUUAAGACACACUGUUUUCUCUCCGUUAAGUAACUUUUAAUCCAUUUGAGAAGAGGAUCUCUCACUCCUAAGCGCUCAAGCUUGAAGAGGAGUCCUUUGUGCCAGACCUUAUCAAAAGCUUUACUAAUAUCCAGGAAAACCAUUCUCACUUCUUUACCAAGCUCUAAAGCCUCAUGAAUUUUAUGAACUAUGAAAAUAAGUUGAUUAACAGUAGAAUCACCAGGACGAAAUCCAGACUGAAACGGGUUUAGAAAAUUUAUUUCGAGUAAAAAAUUAUAAAGUCUGACGAAAACAAUUUUUUCACAAAUUUUAGAUAAUGAUGGCAGCAAUGAAAUAGGACGAUAGUUCUCUUUUGAUUGACGAUCGUCUUUUUUAAAAAUAGGUACAACAUUUGCCAAUUUCCACUUCAAAGGGAAAACACCCACAGAAAGUGAUUGAUUAAUAAAUCGAGAAAAAGAACAUGCAAUAUUAUUAGCGCUUGCCUUAAGCAAUGCAUUUCCAACACCAUCGGCACCACAAGCUUUCGAAGUAUCAACAUUUUGCAACAUUUUUUUAACUUCGUACUCUGAAGUUGAGAUAUUUGAUAAUGUUAUGCAACUUUGAAAAACCUCUAGAUUAGGCGAUUAUUAGCAAGUGGGAACGACCAACAUGGCCGCCAUCUAUUCAAAAGGGGGUAACCGCUGGAAUAUUCCUGGCUUCAAUUUUACUAAAUGAGAUGCGCUAUCUAGUGUAUAUAAGAUAUCUAUGUUACGCACCAUAAAGGCAGAUUUCCGUUCAGUGCAAAAUGUCGUGCGAUCGAUAUUUUGUGAUCACUUUCUUUUGAAAUACAAGCAAUCACACGCAACGGAUCAGGUUGACUGAACGCAUUUCAAAAGAAAGUGAUCGCAAACAGUUGAUCUCGCGAUAUUUUGCACUGAAUGGAAAUCCGCGGCCUUAAGUUUCUGAGGCAUGCAACAUGUACGCACGGCAUACCUAUUUUUAUUAUUUUAAACAAAUUAUAAAAAUGAACUAAUUUAUUCAAAGUGCAUUAAUUUUAUAACAGAUGUCUGGGGCUGUGAUAAAAGUCUAUUUUACUAUAUGGUGACGGAUGCCUAUAUUUUGCGGGAUACCGGUAUCUGCUUCCGACACAUCCUUACUUAUUACUAGCUCUGUUUCUUUAGGAACUUUUCACAGGAUGCUUCUUUAAAUCUUACCAUUGAACCAAGGAAUGUCAACACUACAAGAUGAAAGUCUGCACGAUGCUUUUAAAAAAGGGGAUCUUCGCAAAGUACAAGAGAUCUUGCAAAAAGACUCGGAUAUCAUCAACAGGUUGAAUCAACGUGGCGGUCUCUUGGGCAACACUCCAUUGCACGACGCUGCAUAUCACGGUCAUGUUGAUAUCUUACAACUGUUGCUUAACCAUGGUGCCAGUGUGAACGCGGUGGACAAUGAUGGUGAUACACCAUUGCACAAAGCUGCAUGUGAAGGUCAUGUUGAUAUCUUACAACUGUUGCUUAACCAUGGUGCCAGUGUGAACGCGGUGGACAAUGUUGGUAAUACUCCAUUGCAGCAAGCUGCAUAUCACGGUCAUGUUGAUAUCUUACAAAUGUUGCUUAACCAUGGUGCCAGUGUGAACGCGGUGAACAAGGGUGGUGAUACACCAUUGUACGAAGCUGCAUCUCGCGGUCAUGUUGAUAUCUUACAACUGUUGCUUAACCAUGGUGGCAGUGUGAACGCGGUGAACAAUGAUGGUGAUACACCAUUGUACGAAGCUGCAUUUAAAAGUCAUGUUGAUAUCUUACAAAUGUUGCUUAACCAUGGUGCCAGUGUGAACGCGGUGAACAAUGUUGGUCAUACACCAUUGCACGAAGCUGCAGAUGAAGGUCAUGUUGAUAUCUUACAACUGUUGCUUAACCAUGGUGCCAGUGUGAACGCGGUGGAAAGUGGUGGUGAUACACCAUUGCACUACGCUGCACGUGAAGGUCAUGUUGAUAUCUUACAACUGUUGCUUAACCAUGGUGCCAGUGUGAACGCGGUGGAGAUCAUGGGUGAUACACCAUUGCACGACGCUGCAUCUCGCGGUCAUGUUGAUAUUUUACAAAUGUUGCUCAACCAUGGUGCCAGUGUGAACGCGGUGGACAACAUGGGUGAUACACCAUUGCACGACACUGCAUCUCAAGGUCAUGUUGAUAGCUUACAACUGUUGCUUAACCAUGGUGCCAGCGUGAACGCGGUGAACAAGCAGGGUCAUACACCAUUGCACAAAGCUGCAUCUCGGGCUCGUGUGAAAUGCAUUAAGGUUUGUUUCUCUCGUGAGAUAGUCAAUGUUCAGCAGCUCAGUUAAUCCUCGCAAUUUUUGGUAGAAAUAGGCAAAGAGAUAAUGCCGCUGAAAAUUGAAUAAACAAUAUCAGUUUUUUUGCAGGGACGGUGGAACGAUGUAUGUGUG